RNAcentral lists this transfer RNA (76 nucleotides) under Terriglobia bacterium. Its description in RNAcentral is "tRNA-Thr". It matches the Rfam family "tRNA". Rfam says of the family: Transfer RNA (tRNA) molecules are approximately 80 nucleotides in length. Their secondary structure includes four short double-helical elements and three loops (D, anti-codon, and T loops). Further hydrogen bonds mediate the characteristic L-shaped molecular structure. tRNAs have two regions of fundamental functional importance: the anti-codon, which is responsible for specific mRNA codon recognition, and the 3' end, to which the tRNAs corresponding amino acid is attached (by aminoacyl-tRNA synthetases). tRNAs cope with the degeneracy of the genetic code in two manners: having more than one tRNA (with a specific anti-codon) for a particular amino acid; and 'wobble' base-pairing, i.e. permitting non-standard base-pairing at the 3rd anti-codon position. Lineage: Bacteria; Pseudomonadati; Acidobacteriota; Terriglobia. The record is from RNAcentral.
GCCGGGAUAGCUCAGAUGGUAGAGCGGCUGACUUGUAAUCAGCAGGUCACGAGUUCAAUUCUCGUUCCCGGCUCCA